GAUGAACGCUGGCGGCGUGCCUAAUACAUGCAAGUCGAGCGAAUGGAUUAAGAGCUUGCUCUUAUGAAGUUAGCGGCGGACGGGUGAGUAACACGUGGGUAACCUGCCCAUAAGACUGGGAUAACUCCGGGAAACCGGGGCUAAUACCGGAUAACAUUUUGAACCGCAUGGUUCGAAAUUGAAAGGCGGCUUCGGCUGUCACUUAUGGAUGGACCCGCGUCGCAUUAGCUAGUUGGUGAGGUAACGGCUCACCAAGGCGACGAUGCGUGGCCGACCUGAGAGGGUGAUCGGCCACACUGGGACUGAGACACGGCCCAGACUCCUACGGGAGGCAGCAGUAGGGAAUCUUCCGCAAUGGACGAAAGUCUGACGGAGCAACGCCGCGUGAGUGAUGAAGGCUUUCGGGUCGUAAAACUCUGUUGUUAGGGAAGAACAAGUGCUAGUUGAAUAAGCUGACACCUUGACGGUACCUAACCAGAAAGCCACGGCUAACUACGUGCCAGCCGCCGCAGUAA
RNAcentral lists this ribosomal RNA (515 nucleotides) under uncultured bacterium. RNAcentral's name for it is "partial 16S ribosomal RNA". It matches the Rfam family "Bacterial small subunit ribosomal RNA", at positions 28 to 523 of the family's 1533-position model. The record is from RNAcentral.